AAUCAACGCUGGCGGCGUGCCUAACACAUGCAAGUCGAACGAGAAAGUGGAGCAAUCCAUGAGUAAAGUGGCGCACGGGUGAGUAACACGUGACUAACCUACCUUUUAGUGGGGGAUAACCUAAGGAAACCUGGGCUAAUACCGCAUAAUACUUACGAGUCAAAGCAGCAAUGCGCUGAAAGAGGGGGUCGCGGUCGAUUAGCUAGCUGGUGGGGUAAGAGCCUACCAGGGCGAUGAUCGGUAGCUGGUCUGAGAGGACGAGCAGCCACACUGGGAU
This 277-nucleotide ribosomal RNA is filed under the name uncultured bacterium. Its description in RNAcentral is "partial 16S ribosomal RNA". It matches the Rfam family "Bacterial small subunit ribosomal RNA", at positions 32 to 319 of the family's 1533-position model. The record is from RNAcentral.